UAUAUUCUCUGUUUUUUUUGUCCGAGUGUCUGAUGAUGCCUCUUCUGUCAUAUAUUGUCAAAACAUCUGCCUUUUCUAUACUUGGUCUCUAAGUCCCAAUCUUGUGUCUGCUUUUUAUGUUUGCUCCUAAUAUGUAUAUUUCUGGUGUGCCCAUCUGUCUUGCUUUACUAAUUGACUUUGUAUAUUACGUCUGUGCAUCUCUGAUCUCUGUAAAUUGGGUGAUGAUCCUCUCUUACCAAUGUUUGUGCCUCAGCUAUUAUAGCUUAUGUUAUCAUGUUUCUCUAGUUCUCCA
Pelobates cultripes (western spadefoot toad) is the source of this 292-nucleotide non-coding RNA. NCBI's taxonomy places the organism in Eukaryota, Metazoa, Chordata, Amphibia, Anura, Pelobatidae. The record is from the annotation of a GenBank genome assembly.